Molecule: ribosomal RNA, 402 nt
Filed under: uncultured bacterium
Lineage: Bacteria
Description: bacterial SSU rRNA
Rfam family: Bacterial small subunit ribosomal RNA
Source: RNAcentral
UCGGGAAUUUUGGGCAAUGGGCGAAAGCCUGACCCAGCAACGCCGCGUGAGGGAUGAAGUAUUUCGGUAUGUAAACCUCGAAAGAAUGGGAAGAAUAAAUGACAGUACCAUUUAUAAGCUCCGGCUAACUACGUGCCAGCAGCCGCGGUAAUACGUAGGGAGCAAGCGUUGUUCGGAUUUACUGGGCGUAAAGGGCGCGUAGGCGGCGCGGUAAGUCACUUGUGAAAUCUCUGAGCUUAACUCAGAACGGCCAAGUGAUACUGCUGUGCUAGAGUGCGGAAGAGGCAACCGGAAUUCUUGGUGUAGCGGUGAAAUGCGUAGAUAUCAAGAGGAACACCUGAGGCGAAGGCGGGUUGCUGGGCCGACACUGACGCUGAUGCGCGAAAGCCAGGGGAGCAAACG